AUUGAACGCUGGCGGCAUGCUUUACACAUGCAAGUCGAACGGUAACAGCACUUCGGUGGCUGACGAGUGGCGAACGGGUGCGUAAUACAUCGGAACGUGCCUAGUAGUUGGGAUAACUACUCGAAAGAGUAGCUAAUACCGCAUGAGAUCUAAGGAUGAAAGCAGGGGACCUUCGUGCCUUUCGCUACUUUAGCGUCUGAUGGCAGAUUAGGUAGUUGGUGGGAUAAAAGCUUACCAAGCCGACGAUCUGUAGCUGGUCUGAGAGGACGACCAGCCACACUGGGACUGAGACACGGCACAGAAUCCUACGGGAGGCAGCAGUGGGGAAUGUUGGACAAUGGGCGAAAGCAUGAUACAGCAAUGCCGCGUGAAGGAUGAAGGCCUUCGGGUUGUAAAAUGCUUUUGUAAGGAAAGAAAAGAAAUAUUCUAAAACAGGAGGGGAAUGACGGUAACGUAAGAAUAAGCACCGGCUAACUACGUG
This 481-nucleotide ribosomal RNA is filed under the name uncultured bacterium. Its description in RNAcentral is "partial 16S ribosomal RNA". It matches the Rfam family "Bacterial small subunit ribosomal RNA", at positions 30 to 507 of the family's 1533-position model. The record is from RNAcentral.